UUCCGGUUGAUCCUGCCGGAGGUUACUGCUAUCGAGGUUCGACUAAGCCAUGCGAGUCGAAUGUAGCAAUACAUGGCGAACUGCUCAGUAACACGUGGACAACCUGCCCUUAGGACGGGGAUAAACCCGGGAAACUGGGUAUAAUACCCGAUAGGUCUCGAUUGCUGGAAUGCAUCGAGAUUUAAAGCUCCGGCGCCUAAGGAUGGGUCUGCGGCCUAUCAGGUAGUAGUGGGUGUAGCGUACCUACUAGCCUACGACGGGUACGGGUUGUGAGAGCAAGAGCCCGGAGAUGGAUUCUGAGACACGAAUCCAGGCCCUACGGGGUGCAGCAGGCGCGAAAACUUUACAAUGCUGGCAACAGCGAUAAGGGAACCUCGAGUGCCAGGUUACAAAUCUGGCUGUCGAGAUGCCUAAAAAGCAUUUCAUAGCAAGGGCCGGGCAAGACCGGUGCCAGCCGCCGCGGUAACACCGGCGGCUCGAGUGGUAACCGUUAUUAUUGGGUCUAAAGGGUCUGUAGCCGGCCGGAUAAGUCUCUUGAGAAAUCUGGCAGCUUAACUGUCAGGCUUUCAGGAGAUACUGUCUGGCUCGAGGCCGGGAGAGGUGAGAGGUACUUCAGGGGUAGGGGUGAAAUCUUGUAAUCCUUGAAGGACCACCAGUGGCGAAGGCGUCUCACCAGAACGGACCUGACGGCAAGGGACGAAAGCUAGGGGCACGAACCGGAUUAGAUACCCGGGUAGUCCUAGCCGUAAACGAUACUCGCUAGGUGUCGGCCACGGUGCGACCGUUGUCGGUGCCGUAGGGAAGCCGUGAAGCGAGCCACCUGGGAAGUACGGCCGCAAGGCUGAAACUUAAA
Molecule: ribosomal RNA, 853 nt
Filed under: bacterium enrichment culture clone F8 1.705-A11
Lineage: Bacteria
Description: bacterial SSU rRNA
Rfam family: Archaeal small subunit ribosomal RNA
Source: RNAcentral